UUUAAUGAUGACAAAAGGCUUUUGCCUGAAAUUAACCCAGCUCUUCGAAAGCCUCACCUAUAAACAACGCUUAGAGGUCUUUAUGAGAAGACGUCCUGUCUGAUCUU
RNAcentral lists this small nucleolar RNA (107 nucleotides) under Neofusicoccum parvum UCRNP2. RNAcentral's name for it is "A. fumigatus snoRNA Afu_304". It matches the Rfam family "A. fumigatus snoRNA Afu_304". Lineage: Eukaryota; Fungi; Ascomycota; Dothideomycetes; Botryosphaeriales; Botryosphaeriaceae. The record is from Rfam by way of RNAcentral.